RNAcentral lists this ribosomal RNA (482 nucleotides) under uncultured bacterium. Its description in RNAcentral is "partial 16S ribosomal RNA". It matches the Rfam family "Bacterial small subunit ribosomal RNA", at positions 28 to 507 of the family's 1533-position model. The record is from RNAcentral.
GACGAACGCUGGCGGCGUGCUUAACACAUGCAAGUCGAACGAUGAAGAAGAGAAACGCGAACUUCGGUUCAAAUUUCACUUCGGAUUAGUGGCAGACGGGUGAGUAACGCGUGAGCAACCUACCUCUUACAAAGGGAUAGCCUCGGGAAACCGUGAUUAAUACCAUAUGACACAUUCAUAAGGCAUCUUAAGAAUGUUAAAGCUACGGCGGUAAGAGAUGGGCUCGCGUCCCAUUAGCUAGUUGGUGAGGUAACGGCCCACCAAGGCGACGAUGGGUAACCGGCCUGAGAGGGUGAACGGUCACAUUGGAACUGAGACACGGUCCAAACUCCUACGGGAGGCAGCAGUGGGGAAUAUUGCACAUUGGAGGGAACUCUGAUGCAGCGACGCCGCGUGAGCGAUGAAGGAAUUCGUUUCGUAAAGCUCUGUUCUAUGGGAAGAAAAGGACUGUACCAUAGGAGAAAGCCCCGGCUAAAUACGUG